UUGUCGCCGACAACGCUGGCGGCGUGCUUAACACAUGCAAGUCGAACGAUGAAGCCUUCGGGGUGGUAGUGGCGAACGGUGAGUAACACGUGGGCAAUCUGCCCUGCACUCUGCAAGCCCUGGAAACGGUCAAUACCGGAUGUACUUCUGCUCGCAUGGGUGGAGGUUGAAAGCUCGGGUGCAGGAUGAGCGCGGCUAUCAGCUUGUGGUGAGGUAGUGGCUCACCAAGGCGACGACGGUCCGGCCUGAGAGGGACCGGCACACUGGGACGAGACACGGCCCAGACUCCUACGGGAGGCACAGGGGAAUAUUGCAAUGGGCGAAGCCUGAUGCACGACGCCGCGUGAGGGAUGACGGCCUUCGGUUAAACCUCUUUCCAGGGAAGAACGCAAGUGACGUACCUGCAGAAGAAGCGCCGGCUAACACGUGAGCAGCCGCGAAUACGAAGGGCCAAGCGUUGUCGGAAUUAUUGGGCGUAAAGAGCUCUAGGCGCUGUCGCGGAUGUGAAAGCCCGGGCUUAACCCCGGUCUGCAUUCGAUACGGGCAGAUAGAGUGGUAGGGGGAUCGGAAUUCCUGGUUAGCGGUGAAAUCGCAGAUAUCAGGAGGAACCCGGUGGCAGGCGGAUCUGGGCCAUUACUGACGCGAGGAGCGAAACGUGGGGAGCGAACAGGAUAGAUACCCGUAGUCCGCCGUAAACGGUGGGAACUGGUGUUGGCGAAUUCCAGUCGUCGGUCCGCAGCUAACAUUAAGUUCCCGCCUGGGGAGUACGGCCGCAGGCUAAACUCAAGGAAUUGACGGGGGCCCGCACAAGCAGGGCAUGUGGCUUAAUUCGACGAACGCGAAGAACUUACCAAGGCUUGACAUACACCGAAGCAUCAGAGAUGGUGCCCCCCUUGUGGUCGUGUACAGGUGGUCAUGGCUGUCGUCAGCUCGUGUGAGAUGUUGGGUUAAGUCCCGCAACGAGCGCACCCUUGUUCUGUUUGCCAGCAUGCCCUUCGGGAUGGGGACUCACAGGAGACUGCCGUCAACUCGAGGAAGGUGGGCGACGUCAAGUCAUCAUGCCCUUAUGUCUUGGGCUGCACACGUGCUACAAUGGCCGUACAAUGAGCUGGAUGCCGUGAGGCGGAGCGAAUCUCAAAAAGCCGGUCUCAGUUCGGAUUGGGGUCUCAACUCGACCCCAGAAGUCGGAGUUGCUAUAAUCGCAGAUCAGCAUUGCUGCGGUGAAUACGUUCCCGGCUGAAAGCCCGUCAGUCCAGCGAA
RNAcentral lists this ribosomal RNA (1260 nucleotides) under Streptomyces sp. SJ-UOM-43-09. RNAcentral describes it as "bacterial SSU rRNA". It matches the Rfam family "Bacterial small subunit ribosomal RNA". Lineage: Bacteria; Bacillati; Actinomycetota; Actinomycetes; Kitasatosporales; Streptomycetaceae. The record is from RNAcentral.